UACGGAGGGUGCAAGCGUUAUCCGGAUUCACUGGGUUUAAAGGGUGCGUAGGCGGCGCGGAAAGUUGGGUGUGAAAUCCCUCGGCUCAACCGAGGAACUGCGCCCAAAACUACCGUGCUUGAGGGAGAUAGAGGUGAGCGGAACUUAGGGUGGAGCGGUGAAAUGCGUUGAUAUCCUAAGGAACACCCGUGGCGAAAGCGGCUCACUGGGUCUCUUCUGACGCUGAGGCACGAAAGCUAGGGUAGCGAACGGG
RNAcentral lists this ribosomal RNA (253 nucleotides) under uncultured bacterium. RNAcentral describes it as "partial 16S ribosomal RNA". It matches the Rfam family "Bacterial small subunit ribosomal RNA", at positions 524 to 776 of the family's 1533-position model. The record is from RNAcentral.